CAAACAGUUGUGGGGAUCUGCUGGGAUACAGUGUUGGAUCCGGAUAUAACAAUACCCACUCAACUGGUCCAGGUGUUAAAGGGUAGGUUCGAAGUGGGAGGCCUUCCUGGCAAAUGGCGGAGAUCUUAACAGGUGAUGUUGCCCCGUGAUACCACCAUGAGCUGCUGCCUCACAAUGGGCUCAAGAGGCACAUGCCCAAGCAAUCAUGAACUACAGUGUCUAAGACCUGAAGCCCAAAUAAAACCUUUUCUCUUUAUAAGCUCAUUAUUAUCUUAGAUAUUUGUUGUAGUACCAACACAAAGAUAAAUAUAAUUUCUAGUAUAUUUUAAACACUUUCAUUUUUAAAAUUAAAUUAUUACCUUUUCUAUUUUCCAAUAAAAUUG
Molecule: long non-coding RNA, 383 nt
Organism: Cavia porcellus (domestic guinea pig)
Lineage: Eukaryota; Metazoa; Chordata; Mammalia; Rodentia; Caviidae
Exons: 3
Source: RefSeq, a predicted model, not a curated record